GACGAACGCUGGCGGCGUGCUUAACACAUGCAAGUCGAACGGAAAGGCCCUGCUUUUGUGGGGUGCUCGAGUGGCGAACGGGUGAGUAACACGUGAGUAACCUGCCCUUGACUUUGGGAUAACUUCAGGAAACUGGGGCUAAUACCGGAUAGGAGCUCCUGCUGCAUGGUGGGGGUUGGAAAGUUUCGGCGGUUGGGGAUGGACUCGCGGCUUAUCAGCUUGUUGGUGGGGUAGUGGCUUACCAAGGCUUUGACGGGUAGCCGGCCUGAGAGGGUGACCGGCCACAUUGAGACUGAGAUACGAGCCAGACUCCGGCGGGAGGCAGCAGUGGGGAAUAUUGCACAAUGGGCGGAAGCCUGAUGCAGCAACGCCGCGUGCGGGAUGACGGCCUUCGGGUUGUAAACCGCUUUCGCCUGUGACGAAGCGUGAGUGACGGUAAUGGGUAAAGAAGCACCGGCUAACUACGUG
Molecule: ribosomal RNA, 468 nt
Filed under: uncultured bacterium
Lineage: Bacteria
Description: partial 16S ribosomal RNA
Rfam family: Bacterial small subunit ribosomal RNA
Source: RNAcentral